This is a small nuclear RNA of Cebus imitator (Panamanian white-faced capuchin), 142 nucleotides long. Its record names the gene U4. It matches the Rfam family "U4 spliceosomal RNA". From Rfam's summary of the family: U4 small nuclear RNA (U4 snRNA) is a component of the major U2-dependent spliceosome. The structure of U4 snRNA from yeast and human has been reported. U4 snRNA presents a k-turn RNA motif in the 5p-SL related to recognition of Snu13 protein. Lineage: Eukaryota; Metazoa; Chordata; Mammalia; Primates; Cebidae. The record is from Ensembl.
AGCUUUGCACAGUGGCAAGUAUCACAGCCAAUGAGGUUUAUCUGAGGCACAACUAUUGCUAAUUGAAAACUUUUUCCAGUACCCUACCACGAUGACUUGCAACAUAGUCAGCAUUAACAAUUUUUGACAGUCUCUACGGAGG